Molecule: ribosomal RNA, 1248 nt
Filed under: Staphylococcus pseudintermedius
Lineage: Bacteria; Bacillati; Bacillota; Bacilli; Caryophanales; Staphylococcaceae
Description: partial 23S ribosomal RNA
Rfam family: Bacterial large subunit ribosomal RNA
Source: RNAcentral
GAGGAACUUGUUCCUCGAGUCGUUGAUUUCACACUGCCGAGAAAAGCCUCUAGCUAGAAUAACGGUGCCCGUACCGCAAACCGACACAGGUAGUCAAGAUGAGAAUUCUAAGGUGAGCGAGCGAACUCUCGUUAAGGAACUCGGCAAAAUGACCCCGUAACUUCGGGAGAAGGGGUGCUCUUUGAGGUUCACGCUUCGAAGAGCCGCAGUGAAUAGGCCCAAGCGACUGUUUAUCAAAAACACAGGUCUCUGCUAAACCGUAAGGUGACGUAUAGGGGCUGACGCCUGCCCGGUGCUGGAAGGUUAAGAGGAGUGGUUAGCGCAAGCGAAGCUACGAAUCGAAGCCCCAGUAAACGGCGGCCGUAACUAUAACGGUCCUAAGGUAGCGAAAUUCCUUGUCGGGUAAGUUCCGACCCGCACGAAAGGCGUAACGAUUUGGGCACUGUCUCAACGAGAGACUCGGUGAAAUCAUAGUACCGGUGAAGAUGCCGGUUACCCGCGACAGGACGGAAAGACCCCGUGGAGCUUUACUGUAGCCUGAUAUUGAAAUUCGGUACAGUUUGUACAGGAUAGGUAGGAGCCUUAGAAGCGUGAGCGCUAGCUUACGUGGAGGCAUUGGUGGGAUACUACCCUAAUUGUAUUGGAUUUCUAACCCGCAGCACUUAUCGUGCUGGGAGACAGUGUCAGGCGGGCAGUUUGACUGGGGCGGUCGCCUCCUAAAGAGUAACGGAGGCGCUCAAAGGUUCCCUCAGAAUGGUUGGAAAUCAUUCAUAGAGUGUAAAGGCAUAAGGGAGCUUGACUGCGAGACCUACAAGUCGAGCAGGGUCGAAAGACGGACUUAGUGAUCCGGUGGUUCCGCAUGGAAGGGCCAUCGCUCAACGGAUAAAAGCUACCCCGGGGAUAACAGGCUUAUCUCCCCCAAGAGUUCACAUCGACGGGGAGGUUUGGCACCUCGAUGUCGGCUCAUCGCAUCCUGGGGCUGUAGUCGGUCCCAAGGGUUGGGCUGUUCGCCCAUUAAAGCGGUACGCGAGCUGGGUUCAGAACGUCGUGAGACAGUUCGGUCCCUAUCCGUCGUGGGCGUAGGAAAUUUGAGAGGAGCUGUCCUUAGUACGAGAGGACCGGGAUGGACAUACCUCUGGUGUACCAGUUGUCGUGCCAACGGCAUAGCUGGGUAGCUAUGUAUGGACGGGAUAAGUGCUGAAAGCAUCUAAGCAUGAAGCCCCCCUCGAGAUGAGAUUUCCCAACUUC